CCGGUUGAUCCUGCUGGAGGCUGCAGCUAUUUGGUUUGGGUUUAGACAUGCAAGUUUUUUGCCGUCGAAAGAUAGGUGAAGGCAAACUGCUCAGUAACACGUAGCUAACCAACCCUUAGGUCAAGGAUAACCUCGGGAAACUGAGGCUAAUACUUGAUAGAAGUUUAUUGCUGGAAUGCUUUUACUUUGAAACUCGUGCCUAAGGAAGGGGCUGCGGUCGAUUAGGUUGUUGGUGGGGUAACUGCCUACCAAGCCGAUGAUCGAUAGGGGCUCUUAGCGGAGUUGCCCCGAGAAGGAAUCUGAGACACUAUUCCUAGCUCUACGGAGUGCAGCAGUCGCGGAUCAUUUACAAUGCACGAAAGUGUGAUAAUGCGAACCAAAGUGCUUUCUUUUUGAAAGCUUUUCUUUGCUUUAAAACGGCAAAGGAAUAAGGACUGGGUAAGACAGGUGCCAGCCGCCGCGGUAAUACCUGCGGUCCAAGUUGCAGCCAUCAUUAUUGGGUCUAAAACAUCCGUAGCUCGUUUGUUAAGUUUCUUGUGAAAUCCUACUUCUCAAGGGUAGGGCUAGCAAGAAAUACUGGCAGACUCGGGAUCGGUAGACGUAGGGAGUACAUCUAAGGUAGUGGUAAAAUACGUUAAUCUUAGAUGGACUAACAAUUGGCGAAGGCACCCUACGAGGACGAAUCUGACAGUGAGGGAUGAAGGCCAGGGGCGCAAAACGGAUUAGAUACCCGUGUAGUCCUGGCAGUAAACACUGCUCACUAAACAUCGGUCUCUCUUCGGGAGAAAUCGGUGCUGAAGCGAAGGCGAAGAGUGAGCUACCUGGGAAGUAUAGUCGCAAGAUCGAAACUUAAAGGAAUUGGCGGGGAGGCACACAACGAGUGACGCGUGCGGUUCAAUUAGAUUCUACACCGUGAACCUCACCAGGAGCGACAGCAGAAUGAAGGUCAGUCUGAAGGGCUUACCUGACGCGCUGAGCGGAGAUGCAUGGCCAACAUCAGCCUGUGUCGUGAGAUGACCUGUUAAAUCAGGUAACAGGCGAGACCCGUG
RNAcentral lists this ribosomal RNA (1049 nucleotides) under uncultured euryarchaeote. RNAcentral's name for it is "partial 16S ribosomal RNA". It matches the Rfam family "Archaeal small subunit ribosomal RNA", at positions 4 to 1056 of the family's 1478-position model. Lineage: Archaea; Methanobacteriati; Methanobacteriota. The record is from RNAcentral.